AACGAACGCUGGCGGCAGGCCUAACACAUGCAAGUCGAGGGGAAGCUAUUUUCGGAUAGUGGAGACCGGCGCACGGGUGAGUAACGCGUGGGAACCUACCCUGGGGUGGGGGAUAACCGCUGGAAACGGCGGCUAAUACCGCAUACGCCUUGAGAGGGAAAGAUUUAUCGCCCUGGGACGGGCCCGCGUUGGAUUAGCUUGUUGGUGAGGUAAAGGCUCACCAAGGCUGCGAUCCAUAGCUGGUCUGAGAGGAUGAUCAGCCACACUGGGACUGAGACACGGCCCAGACUCCUACGGGAGGCAGCAGUGGGGAAUAUUGGACAAUGGGGGCAACCCUGAUCCAGCCAUGCCGCGUGCGUGAAGAAGGCCUUAGGGUUGUAAAGCGCUUUCACCGGUGAAGAUGAUGACGGUAGCCGGAGAAGAAGCCCCGGCUAACUCCGUG
This 442-nucleotide ribosomal RNA is filed under the name uncultured bacterium. Its description in RNAcentral is "bacterial SSU rRNA". It matches the Rfam family "Bacterial small subunit ribosomal RNA", at positions 29 to 507 of the family's 1533-position model. The record is from RNAcentral.